RNAcentral lists this ribosomal RNA (601 nucleotides) under Halomonas litopenaei. Its description in RNAcentral is "16S ribosomal RNA". It matches the Rfam family "Bacterial small subunit ribosomal RNA", at positions 83 to 680 of the family's 1533-position model. Lineage: Bacteria; Pseudomonadati; Pseudomonadota; Gammaproteobacteria; Oceanospirillales; Halomonadaceae. The record is from RNAcentral.
AGGAGGCGUCGAGCGGCGGACGGGUGAGUAAUGCAUAGGAAUCUGCCCGGUAGUGGGGGAUAACCUGGGGAAACCCAGGCUAAUACCGCAUACGCCCUACGGGGGAAAGCAGGGGAUCUUCGGACCUUGCGCUAUCGGAUGAGCCUAUGUCGGAUUAGCUAGUUGGUGAGGUAACGGCUCACCAAGGCUGCGAUCCGUAGCUGGUCUGAGAGGAUGAUCAGCCACAUCGGGACUGAGACACGGCCCGAACUCCUACGGGAGGCAGCAGUGGGGAAUAUUGGACAAUGGGCGAAAGCCUGAUCCAGCCAUGCCGCGUGUGUGAAGAAGGCCUUCGGGUUGUAAAGCACUUUCAGUGAGGAAGAAAGCCUUGAGGUUAAUACCCUCGAGGGAGGACAUCACUCACAGAAGAAGCACCGGCUAACUCCGUGCCAGCAGCCGCGGUAAUACGGAGGGUGCGAGCGUUAAUCGGAAUUACUGGGCGUAAAGCGCGCGUAGGCGGCUUGAUAAGCCGGUUGUGAAAGCCCCGGGCUCAACCUGGGAACGGCAUCCGGAACUGUCAGGCUAGAGUGCAGGAGAGGAAGGUAGAAUUCCCGGUGUAGCG